GAUGAAGAACGUAGCGAAAUGCGAUACGUAAUGUGAAUUGCAGAAUUCAGUGAAUCAUCGAAUCCUUGAACGCAUAUUGCGCUCUCUGGUAUUCCGGAGAGCAUGCUUGUUUGAGUAUCAGUAAACACCUCAACUUCCAUAUCUUUUUUGAAAUGGGAGUUGGACUUGAGUGAUCCCAACGCUUUUCCUCACCGAAAAGUGGCGGGUUACUUGAAAUGCAGGUGCAGCUGGACUUUUCUCUGAGCUAUAAGCAUAUCUAUUUAGUCUGCCUAAAAAACAGAUUAUUACCUUUGCUGCAGCUAACAUAAAGGAGAUUAGUUCUUGUGCUGACUGAUGCAGGAUUCACAAAGACGGCUUCGGCCGACUUUGUAAACUCGAUCUCAAAUCAAGUAAGACUACCCGCUGAACUUAAGCAUAUCAAUAAGCGGAGGA
RNAcentral lists this unclassified non-coding RNA (432 nucleotides) under soil metagenome. RNAcentral's name for it is "partial contains 5.8S ribosomal RNA, internal transcribed spacer 2, and large subunit ribosomal RNA". The stretch from base 1 to 120 matches the Rfam family "5.8S ribosomal RNA", at positions 35 to 154 of the family's 154-position model. The record is from RNAcentral.